This 254-nucleotide ribosomal RNA is filed under the name uncultured bacterium. RNAcentral describes it as "partial 16S ribosomal RNA". It matches the Rfam family "Bacterial small subunit ribosomal RNA", at positions 524 to 776 of the family's 1533-position model. The record is from RNAcentral.
GACAGAGGUCCCGAGCGUUAGGCGGAAUCACUGGGCUUAAAGCGUGUGUAGGCGGCGGCCUAAGUACCUUGUGAAAUCCCCACGGCUCACCCGUGGAACUGCUCGGUAUACUGGGUCGCUUGAGCCACUUAGGGGCUACCGGAACAAAUGGUGGAGCGGUGAAAUGCGUAGAUAUCAUUUGGAACGCCAAUGGUGAAAACAGGUAGCUGGGAGUGUGCUGACGCUGAGACACGAAAGCCAGGGGAGCAAACGGG